This 700-nucleotide ribosomal RNA is filed under the name uncultured bacterium. RNAcentral describes it as "bacterial SSU rRNA". It matches the Rfam family "Bacterial small subunit ribosomal RNA", at positions 8 to 703 of the family's 1533-position model. The record is from RNAcentral.
AGAGUUUGAUCAUGGCUCAGAUUGAACGCUGGCGGAAUGCUUUACACAUGCAAGUCGAACGGCAGCACGGGGGCAACCCUGGUGGCGAGUGGCGAACGGGUGAGUAAUACAUCGGAACGUGCCCAGUCGUGGGGGAUAACGUAGCGAAAGCUACGCUAAUACCGCAUACGAUCUACGGAUGAAAGCGGGGGAUCGCAAGACCUCGCGCGAUUGGAGCGGCCGAUGGCAGAUUAGGUAGUUGGUGGGGUAAAGGCUCACCAAGCCGACGAUCUGUAGCUGGUCUGAGAGGACGACCAGCCACACUGGGACUGAGACACGGCCCAGACUCCUACGGGAGGCAGCAGUGGGGAAUUUUGGACAAUGGGCGCAAGCCUGAUCCAGCCAUUCCGCGUGCAGGAUGAAGGCCCUCGGGUUGUAAACUGCUUUUGUACGGAACGAAACGGUGCCAGCUAAUACCUGGCGCUAAUGACGGUACCGUAAGAAUAAGCACCGGCUAACUACGUGCCAGCAGCCGCGGUAAUACGUAGGGUGCAAGCGUUAAUCGGAAUUACUGGGCGUAAAGCGUGCGCAGGCGGUUGUGUAAGACAGGUGUGAAAUCCCCGGGCUUAACCUGGGAACUGCAUUUGUGACUGCACAGCUAGAGUACGGUAGAGGGGGAUGGAAUUCCGCGUGUAGCAGUGAAAUGCGUAGAUAUGCGGAG